GAUUUUCAAAUACCUCAAAGUAAUCGAUUAUUGGUUUUCUGUAAUCGAUGUUUUGCUCAAAAUCCGGAAAUAAUUUUUAAAACGUUAAUGAGGUAAUCGUUUAUUGAUUUGCUAUAAUCGAUGUUUUUGAUUAAAAUCUGUAAAUGAUUUUUGGAACGUUGCUGAAGCAAUCGAUUAUGGAUUUGGUAUAAUCGAUUAUCUGAAUUUGAAUUUUGCCAGCAAUCGAUUAUGGAUUUGGUAUAAUCGAUUAUCUGAAUUUGAAUUUUGCCUGUAAUCGAUUAUGGAUUGUAAGUAAUCAAUUAUUAAGCGUAAAAUCUGGGAUUGAUUUUUGAU
This 333-nucleotide long non-coding RNA is filed under the name Nicotiana benthamiana. Its description in RNAcentral is "long non-coding RNA (NBEN_LNC018121)". Lineage: Eukaryota; Viridiplantae; Streptophyta; Magnoliopsida; Solanales; Solanaceae. The record is from RNAcentral.